RNAcentral lists this ribosomal RNA (253 nucleotides) under uncultured prokaryote. Its description in RNAcentral is "partial 16S ribosomal RNA". It matches the Rfam family "Bacterial small subunit ribosomal RNA", at positions 525 to 777 of the family's 1533-position model. The record is from RNAcentral.
ACAGAGGUCCCAAGCGUUGUUCGGAUUCACUGGGCGUAAAGGGUGCGUAGGCGGUCGGUUAAGUCUGAUGUGAAAGCUCGGAGCUCAACUCCGAAAUGGCAUCGGAAACUAUCCGGCUCGAGGAAUGGAGGGGAGACUGGAAUUCUCGGUGUAGCAGUGAAAUGCGUAGAUAUCGAGAGGAACACCAGUGGCGAAGGCGAGUCUCUGGACAUUUCCUGACGCUGAGGCACGAAAGCCAGGGGAGCAAACGGGA